UUGAUCUAUUUCUAGUGGCGGACGGGUGAGUAACGCGUGGGUAACCUGCCUUAUACAGGGGGAUAACAGUCAGAAAUGGCUGCUAAUACCGCAUAAGCGCACAGAGCUGCAUGGCUCAGUGUGAAAAACUCCGGUGGUAUAAGAUGGACCCGCGUUGGAUUAGCUGGUUGGUGGGGUAACGGCCCACCAAGGCGACGAUCCAUAGCCGGCCUGAGAGGGUGAACGGCCACAUUGGGACUGAGACACGGCCCAGACUCCCACGGGAGGCAGCAGUGGGGAAUAUUGCACAAUGGGGGAAACCCUGAUGCAGCGACGCCGCGUGAAGGAAGAAGUAUCUCGGUAUGUAAACUUCUAUCAGCAGGGAAGAUAGUGACGGUACCUGACUAAGAAGCCCCGGCUAACUACGUGCCAGCAGCCGCGGUAAUACGUAGGGGGCAAGCGUUAUCCGGAUUUACUGGGUGUAAAGGGAGCGUAGACGGUGUGGCAAGUCUGAUGUGAAAGGCAUGGGCUCAACCUGUGGACUGCAUUGGAAACUGUCAUACUUGAGUGCCGGAGGGGUAAGCGGAAUUCCUAGUGUAGCGGUGAAAUGCGUAGAUAUUAGGAGGAACACCAGUGGCGAAGGCGG
RNAcentral lists this ribosomal RNA (625 nucleotides) under uncultured Lachnospiraceae bacterium. RNAcentral describes it as "bacterial SSU rRNA". It matches the Rfam family "Bacterial small subunit ribosomal RNA", at positions 81 to 724 of the family's 1533-position model. The record is from RNAcentral. Lineage: Bacteria; Bacillati; Bacillota; Clostridia; Lachnospirales; Lachnospiraceae.